AAGACCUUGCGCUUUUGGAGCGGCCGAUGUCUGAUUAGCUAGUUGGUAGGGUAAUGGCCUACCAAAGCUUCGAUCAGUAGCUGGUCUGAGAGGACGACCAGCCACACUGGGACUGAGACACGGCCCAGACUCCUACGGGAGGCAGCAGUGGGGAAUUUUGGACAAUGGGCGCAAGCCUGAUCCAGCCAUGCCGCGUGAGUGAAGAAGGCCUUCGGGUUGUAAAGCUCUUUCAGCCGGGAAGAAAAGGCUACGACGAAUAAUCGCAGCUCAUGACGGUACCGGAAGAAGAAGCACCGGCUAACUACGUGCCAGCAGCCGCGGUAAUACGUAGGGUGCGAGCGUUAAUCGGAAUUACUGGGCGUAAAGGGUGCGCAGGCGGUUUUGUAAGUCAGAUGUGAAAUCCCCGGGCUUAACCUGGGAACU
This 423-nucleotide ribosomal RNA is filed under the name uncultured bacterium. RNAcentral describes it as "bacterial SSU rRNA". It matches the Rfam family "Bacterial small subunit ribosomal RNA", at positions 207 to 622 of the family's 1533-position model. The record is from RNAcentral.